Molecule: ribosomal RNA, 497 nt
Filed under: uncultured bacterium
Lineage: Bacteria
Description: partial 16S ribosomal RNA
Rfam family: Bacterial small subunit ribosomal RNA
Source: RNAcentral
GAUGAACGCUGGCGGCGUGCCUAAUACAUGCAAGUCGAGCGAACGGACGAGAAGCUUGCUUCUCUGAUGUUAGCGGCGGACGGGUGAGUAACACGUGGAUAACCUACCUAUAAGACUGGGAUAACUUCGGGAAACCGGAGCUAAUACCGGAUAAUAUUUUGAACCGCAUGGUUCAAAAGUGAAAGACGGUCUUGCUGUCACUUAUAGAUGGAUCCGCGCUGCAUUAGCUAGUUGGUAAGGUAACGGCUUACCAAGGCAACGAUGCGUAGCCGACCUGAGAGGGUGAUCGGCCACACUGGAACUGAGACACGGUCCAGACUCCUACGGGAGGCAGCAGUAGGGAAUCUUCCGCAAAGGGCGAAAGCCUGACGGAGCAACGCCGCGUGAGUGAUGAAGGUCUUCGGAUCGUAAAACUCUGUUAUUAGGGAAGAACACAUGUGUAAGUAACUGUGCACAUCUUGACGGUACCUAAUCAGAAAGCCACGGCUAACUACGUG